This 255-nucleotide unclassified non-coding RNA is filed under the name Hevea brasiliensis (rubber tree). The record is from RNAcentral. Lineage: Eukaryota; Viridiplantae; Streptophyta; Magnoliopsida; Malpighiales; Euphorbiaceae.
UUCUGUUUCCUUUGGAUAGUUUGUGGAGGAAAUGUGCUCUCCAUGGCUUCUUCAUGACCACUUAGAGAUGCCCUUUCAUGGAGACUACACUUAUUUUUUGCAUUCAAGAGAAAAUUAUGCUUGUGUUGGAAGGGUUUGAGGAGCAAACACUUGCUCUAUCUGUUAUAUACACACUUACUUGCACAUUUCCUCGCUAAACAUUUCACAUUCUUAUUUGGUAAAUGAUUUAUUCUAAUUUUGCUUAACAAGUUCAGA